This 429-nucleotide ribosomal RNA is filed under the name Acidobacteriota bacterium. RNAcentral's name for it is "Acidobacteria bacterium partial 16S ribosomal RNA". It matches the Rfam family "Bacterial small subunit ribosomal RNA", at positions 355 to 776 of the family's 1533-position model. Lineage: Bacteria; Pseudomonadati; Acidobacteriota. The record is from RNAcentral.
UGGGGAAUUUUGGACAAUGGGGGAAACCCUGAUCCAGCCAUCCCGCGUGUGCGAUGAAGGCCUUCGGGUUGUAAAGCACUUUUGGCAGGAAAGAAACGUCAUGGGUUAAUACCCCGUGAAACUGACGGUACCUGCAGAAUAAGCACCGGCUAACUACGUGCCAGCAGCCGCGGUAAUACGUAGGGUGCAAGCGUUAAUCGGAAUUACUGGGCGUAAAGCGUGCGCAGGCGGUUCGGAAAGAAAGAUGUGAAAUCCCAGAGCUCAACUUUGGAACUGCAUUUUUAACUACCGGGCUAGAGUGUGUCAGAGGGAGAUGGAAUUCCGCAUGUAGCAGUGAAAUGCGUAGAUAUGCGGAGGAACACCGAUGGCGAAGGCAGCCUCCUGGGAUAACACUGACGCUCAUGCACGAAAGCGUGGGGAGCAAACAGG